RNAcentral lists this transfer RNA (72 nucleotides) under Camelus bactrianus (Bactrian camel). It matches the Rfam family "tRNA". From Rfam's summary of the family: Transfer RNA (tRNA) molecules are approximately 80 nucleotides in length. RNAcentral also lists the same sequence under 2 other names. The record is from Rfam by way of RNAcentral. Lineage: Eukaryota; Metazoa; Chordata; Mammalia; Artiodactyla; Camelidae.
GAAGUUAUAGCUUAGUGGUAGAGUGCAUGCUUAGCAUGCACAAGGUCCUGGGUUCAAUCCCCAGUACCUCCA